GUGCUUGUUUUGGCAGCACAUAUACUAAAAUCAGAAUGAUACAGAGAAGAUUAGCAUAGCCCCCACACAAAGAUGACAUAUAAAUUUGAUUUUACAAUUUUAU
Small nuclear RNA from Colobus angolensis palliatus, 103 nucleotides. NCBI's taxonomy places the organism in Eukaryota, Metazoa, Chordata, Mammalia, Primates, Cercopithecidae. The record is from Ensembl.